This is a long non-coding RNA of Puntigrus tetrazona (Sumatra barb), 4700 nucleotides long. RefSeq lists it as uncharacterized. Lineage: Eukaryota; Metazoa; Chordata; Actinopteri; Cypriniformes; Cyprinidae. The transcript is spliced from 2 exons. The record is from RefSeq and is a predicted model, not a curated record.
CGGGGGGGUGAUAAAGUUCUGGCACUUACAGCAUUAAGCACCUUACACUCAGACUAAUGCACUUUAUUAAGAUAGAGGUUUUUUUCCUUUUUUCUUUUUCGAGAAGAUUUACUUGUAUAUUUAUGUGGUAUGCUUCAGAAAUAUUACCACAUAUAUAUACUGUGUGUGUGUGUGUGUGUGUGUGAAUCAGAACUGGAGUUUGUGCUGGGAGGAAAUGGUGGCGAUUGGGGGACCAUUGCGUGUUUCAGUUCAGACAUUAUCAGAAAAACAAAUCCUCUCUUUAAAGACAAACACUGUUGUUUUUUAUAUACAUAUAUAUAGAUAUAUAUAAAGUUUCUAUUAAAAAAUGUAAAGCUAUUAUAAAAAAAAACUUUGAUUAUAAAACUUGAAGAUUUGCACUCACAUAAAAUGCAAGUUAAAAAGAUAAAAAAAAAGCGUUAGAUAUAAUAGAGAUGAAUAUUUUUGUGAUUGCGUGCCUGUGUGUGUAUGUCUAUACACGCAUGUUUGUUUGAGACGGAUGAGAGUGUGUGUGCGCGCAUGAGCGUUUAAAACAUACCAGUCUGCACAAUGUAUUUUUUUUUAACGCUUAGUUAGACGUAUGAUCAAAAGAGGCCAUUUCGUCAUUCAGAGUGAUUUUUUUUUCUCCUUUUUUUUUUUUUUUUAACAUGAACCGAAUGUGUGAAUGCUUGUGUACAAGAGGUACUGUGUGUAUUACUCCUCUUGUAAAUGUGCAGUAUGCGAGCGAAUGAAUGAAUGAAUGAAUGAAAGAAAGACAGAGAGAGGGGGGGCAACGGCACAACACAUCCUCUUUCACCAGCCCUUCUAUUCCCCAACAAAAAAGACCUCUAGAUUCAAACACAAAAGCUUUAGCCCAUUUUACGCCAACCAGCACUCUUAGUUUUCUUGGUGGGGAGUGCGAGAGACGUCUUUUCCUGCCUCCGCUGCCUCAUCUUUGCCUCUGUGAGGUUUAAGAACAUGUCAUUAGCAUCAUUGUUUUGUUUAUGUGUUGUUGAAGAGCUCAAUCUUGUAUACCUUUAGGAAACGGUUACUUGUGGUACGUUGCGUUGCGUGUGUGUGUGGUUUUUUUCUGUCCCCACAUGUGUGCCUAAGAACUAAAGGGCGAAUGAUUAGACUUCAUUGCUGCCAUUGAGACAUUAUUUUUUAGCAAAGGGGCACGGUUUCCUUUGGAAGGCUCCGCCCCCUACAUGCCUCCCAUGCUUAUGAACCAAGAGCCUAUCUCUGUACAGUUCUAUUGUAGCCUGGGGAUGCUUGGAUAAAAAAAAAAAAAGUUUGAUAUUUGGAGGAUGUGACCUAACAUUGCCUUUCUGUCCACUCUCUUGCUCUCGAGUGACUGAGGUUUUGACUAUUUCUGGCUGAAAAAAAAAGAAAAGAAAAAAAAAAGAUCGCAACAAACUGUGCAAGUGCACUCAACAGUGCACAAAAUGUUUGUAUAUUUUGUUACUUGUUCAUUGUUGUUGUCGGCGACAAUGAUGGUGAUUUAUUUUUUCUUUUAAUGUUAUAUAUGAUUAUAUAUGAAUCUAUGAAUAUAAACAAAGUAUUGGACUACAAAGGAAGAGCACUUGGGGCUGCUACUUUUUUUGUUAGUUUUGAAAUUUUUCCUUGGAUUUUUUUUUUUUUUUUUUUUUUUUUAGUUGCCACCAUGUGAAGUGCAUUUGUGUACUUUUUUUUCUUUCCUUCUUGAAAAAAAAAAUGUUGAAUGUAUUCCAAAAAUGUAACGGUGUAGAUGGAGUUGCUCAACACAGGAUAUUAAAGCGUAAUCGGCGGGACAUCAUCAGGAGCAAAAUCGAAAAAGGCUACCACAAAAACACACUGCCUCUACAAUCCUGUUCAUACAGACUUUGACUAUGAAAACGAGAACUUAAAAGAUAUUCUAUUCCAUACUGGAGUUUUGGUUGUUUACAAACCUCACAGACAUUUGUGGGUGCUUUUUCCCCCCAUUAUUUUUGUGGUGAUUUGAAUAUGCGAUUCUGCAGUUGAGAAUCAUUUUGUCGGGGGGGACUUUAAUGGCAUGACGUCAGACCCUUCCUUUUGCAUGUGAGCGCAGCCUAUAUAACUUGCUGACUGAAACAAACUUGGAUCGCUGGAACACAAGUAAUGGAAUUACAUCAAAGAUUUUUUCAUGUACCUUUAUCUUACGGACAGGGUGUGUUUUUAAGAAUCAUAAAGGCGACCAUAUUUGUUUACCGAACUUCUGUUCGUUUGUUUACCUUUUGACUAAUCUUUCUUUGUAAUGGAAUCAAAUUGAUCAUCAAGACAGAAGAAAUGCUUUAUGUACCUGGAAAGAAGGCAAAAAUCAAGACAGCACAGAUGACCUCUUGGUACUGUAAGAUGCAUAUUGAAUGCUUUAACAUUUUUCCCUUUUACCCAAUCAUUUUUUUUGGCUUGUGGAUUAUUUUUUGGAUGGACAUAUCUGUGAUGGAUGUUGAUGAGAAGAACAACAAAAGAAACAUACAUGUAUGACCUCAGAUCUGCCAGAUAAUUCCUUGGACAGUGUGAUCGUGUUUUUAUUAUUUAGUUUUUUUUUUUUUUCCCCUCCUCUCUGAGGGGGGACGAGGUGUCAUGACCAUCAUCUUCAUAAAGGGACUAGCACUGCCCUGAUACCCUCACUAUGCACUUUUCCUUUGCUUAAAACUGUGAGGAUCUUUCACUUGGGCUCCGAGAGCGCCGACAGAAUGCAAGACGCCUGCUUUCUGUCAGCAGAUGGACUCUUCGAGAGAUUUUGAAGCCCUUGCAUGAGACUCGUUCUCCUUACGGUGGUUGUUUCUCAGUCUGCUUGAGAACCCCACCACGCAAGCUUUACCGUAUAUGGAUAAGGGAAGUUUCAGACACAUUGGGACUUGUGGAAAAAUCCUUGGAAUUUUCCCAUGGAGGAUUUUCACUGAACAAUGUUGAUAUUUAAGACUAUACGUACAGUCUCCAAACUUGGUUACGAUGUGGAGAUUCAGAAUAGAUUCACUCAACAGUGUUCUCCGUUAUGUAUAAAGGAUUAAACUGCUUGGUCCAGGGUGCUAGCCAAUGCUUCUUUUUUUUUUCUUGCUUUUUUGUGGACUGGAAUAUUUUGUCGAUGACUGAAAAAUACUUAAAGAAAAAAAAAAAAGACUGGAGGACAGUUUUUUUUUUUGUAUUGGAGACAAAGAACCAAUAAGCUUUAUCAGCUCUAUCGCCACCUGCUGACUGCAUGGCUGAAGUUGUAUCACCUUUGGCUUGAAGUGGUUACCGUGCUACAAGUACAUCUGUUUGAUCUUUGCUGUUCCAGAUCUUCAGAUGAAGACGGAGGCUCUCCAGUGCUUCGUGUUGCAUCUCCACUUCCUCUUAAUUCCUGCCUUUUAUCCUUCAGAGAAAGAUCCAAGGUCAGGAAUUUCAAACAGCACGUGAAAUGAUGACUGCAUGACAAGAACUAAAAGCCCCGGGAGAAGCGGAGGCCUGCAGUGUCAUUACACCGUAUUCGGACUACUCAGAGGGAACGUGUUUCCUUGCUAGGAGGAGGGAGUGAACUGUGAACGCUGGAACAGCGAACUAUGAGAUCUCGAACCUGCACAGAAUAGUUCUGCUCGAGUGCAGCCAGGGUCAAACACUGCACACAUAUUAAUAACUGAAAUACACCUGCAUACACACACAUCCAAAAUAUGAAUUGUUGAUAUUACAUACACUCACUGACAUGGCUUAACACAGUUCCACUACACUUCAUCUCUGGCUGCAAUGUAAAUAAUGUAUAUAAGCCUAAACCUUUUCCCUUUCUCUGUUGGGUUUCAGUUUUGACUUUUUUUUUUUUUUUUUUUUAUGACAUGCCUUAACUGUUAAGUUUUGCCUAUUAAGGCACACUUAAGAUGAGUAAAAAAAAAGUUAACAGUCAGCGAGACUAGCUCUGUGACAUAAUAGCGUGUGAUUUUUAUUUAAGAAACCCAUGAAACAUUUUUUGAACCUGCAAAAUGAUAUGAAUAAUAUCACAAAUGAUCCCCAUGAAAGACGUGUAAUUAAUUCUUGGUUAUAACUGGGCAAUAUGAUGAUACAACCUAACGAUAAAACUUUUUAAGGCUUUGCAUUUUCAAUACUCAAGGGAAAAUAGUUUGCAGGUCAGAAUUGUGUGUCAAAUGUCUUCAUUGUUUUUAGCUCAAAAUAGACGUGGCUGUGUAGAAGUACUUUUACUAACACAUGCUUGAAUGUCAGCUUCAGAUGUUACUGAGCUAAAGAGCAGAAAGGAUGUGAUUCGUUUGUGGAGGUGCUGCGCUUGUCACUCUCCGAGUACGGUAUUGCCCUUUUUAAGAUGAUUAAUUGUGUAAUGGUGCAGGUCAGAAUAAACUAGAGAUGCCUAAUGUCUUUACUGGUAUGCAAAAAUCCAUGUUUUAAAAUGUUAAUGAUAAAACAAAUGACACAUUUCUCAUAUUUAUUGAUUCAGUGUGUGAAGCAACAAUACCUUAAAGAUUGUCACAGAGCUGUGUGUUCAUGUUAUAAAGUGAUCAACUGAAUGGUAUUGGCUGAUCCUAAAUCAUAAGAUCUUCUACUAGUCAUCCUUCCUAUCACACGCAUCUGAGGUGGAUGUCUUUUGAAAUUUCCACAGAUACAGCAAUUCAAGAAAGGUCAUUAGAAACCAUUUUGACAAUAAUGUUUGGAUAUUCAUUAUGUAAAUAGUUUUUGGGGUUUCUGGUUUGAGGAAAAACAAUAAAUACUUCAGAAUUAAG